CCCCCCCCCCCCCCCCCCCCCCCCCCCCCUCUAGACGCUGUGGGACAACUUUGAGCGCAGGGUGAUUGACGGAAGUCAUAAAACCAAAGUGCCGGCACUAGAUUUUUGUGGGGAAGAUGUUCAAGAUGGAGGUGUGGGAGAAGCUGCUGACCUCCAUGAGGAUCGGAGAGGUGGCCGAGUUCUGGUGUGAUGCCGUUGCAGUGUACCAGCGGGCUAGGGCGCACUUGGCUCUGUGCAACGAGCAGGAGGCCAGGAAGCACUUCCGGAUGUUGGAGCGUUUGGAGCCCAGGUUCAAGCCCAUCGUCAAUCAGGAAAAUAAGAGGAUGGCAGUAACUCUCGUAGCCUGUGCAGCUGGGACUCCAGCUGUUUGUUGUGGUCCUCCAGGAUCUGCAUGCGUGUCUCCAGGCGAGUCUUGUGCUGCCGGAGGACCCUUGCCUCGGCCAGGAGCUCCUCGUCCUGCUGGCCCUCCGUGGGAGAUCCCGGAACACCCUCACCUCCCUCCGUCAGCUGGGGCGCCGCCGCCGCCUCCUCAUGCCUCCACUUCAGCCGCCGCCACUCCCCCUGCAGCACCCUGGGGAAUAGGAGAGAGGACAGAGACAUCAGCAGACAGCAUUUUAAAGAGC
RNAcentral lists this long non-coding RNA (623 nucleotides) under Oncorhynchus kisutch (coho salmon). RNAcentral's name for it is "lncRNA (ENSOKIG00005008704.1)". The record is from RNAcentral. Lineage: Eukaryota; Metazoa; Chordata; Actinopteri; Salmoniformes; Salmonidae.